Molecule: ribosomal RNA, 775 nt
Filed under: uncultured Neocallimastigales
Lineage: Eukaryota; Fungi; Neocallimastigomycota; Neocallimastigomycetes; Neocallimastigales
Description: partial large subunit ribosomal RNA
Rfam family: Eukaryotic large subunit ribosomal RNA
Source: RNAcentral
GUAGUCUCGCACAGAUGCAUAUCAAUAAGCGGAGGAAAAGAAACUAACAAGGAUUCCCCUAAGUAACGGCGAGUGAAGCGGGAAGAGCUCAAAUUUGAAAUCUUAAAGGGUUUCCCUUUACGAAUUGUAGUUUAAAGAAGUGUUUUCUGUUGAGGUUUUGGUAAAAGUUCUUUGGAAUAGGACAUCAUAGAGGGUGAGAAUCCCGUAUUUGACCUUUACUUUCAACUUUGUGAUACACUUUCAAAGAGUCGGAUUGUUUGGGAAUGCAGUCCAAAAUGGGUGGUAAAUUUCAUCUAAAGCUAAAUAUUGGCGAGAGACCGAUAGCGAACAAGUACCGUGAGGGAAAGAUGAAAAGAACUUUGAAAAGAGAGUUAAACAGUACGUGAAAUUGUCAAAAGGGAAGCGUUUGACACCAGUGUUGUUUUUCUGAAAAUCAAUUAAAGAACUGUUUAUGCUAAGCUGUUUAGACUUUAUCAGCUAACUGUUUAGUUUUGAGCUUUUCUUUAAUGCACUUUUCAGUUAACAAGUCAACAUCAAUUUCUUUUGCUGUAAAAAAGCUUGAGGAAGGUGGCUUGAGAUUCGUCUUAAGUGUUUAUAGCCUCUUGCCUAUGCAGUCGGAGAGAUUGAGGUCUGCAGCGUAGAUCCUUCGGGGCUAAAUGCAUUUGUGCUAAGUUAUAGCAUUUUAUAGACAACUUGUUGACUAUGAUUUGUCUUGUAGCUUACUCGCUUAUGUUAUUUUACCUACGCUUAGGAUGUUGAACUACUGAGACAUAGA